UACUCCUUUUUUCUUUUCAUGUUGGUCGAACGAUACUUAGAGAGGGUUAUAAGGCUCUACUGCAUUGAACUUAUAAAGAUGUAGUAAUACUGAACGUAUGAAAGACGCAACUGUAAUAAUUAUAUAGGUUCUUUUAACAAAUCCAAGGUGACCUUGGUAUAUUUUCAAAAAAUUGGCGUGGAGGAAUCGUCACUUCCGUUAAGUAGCUACAUACGUGAACGUUCUUUUUUGCCGCACGCAUGCUCAUCGCUUAUUAUUGAUAUCGCGAACAUCGUGCGACGGCGUUACCGCAUAUCGGUCACGGCCACCAGCGAAACUGUUAAUUAUCUAUUAGAUACGAACGAAGUUUACGAAUAUCGAUACUUAAGCGACAUCGUAAUUUUAAAUGAAUUAAGAGUUUUAGUAUACAGGAAAUAAGCGAACAAGUCAUUUACACGUCGAUAAAGAAAACCCGUGUUAUAUUUUAUCGCACCGUGACUAGAUUAGAAUUUAAUAGAAAGCCGCACUUGCAACCAUAUUACAACUUCAUUAUGAUAAUCAAUAUUAAAUAGUAAUUACACUAUGCAACAGUUGAACAGAUAUAGCAAAAAUAUUGUGUUAUUAAGAUAUUACUUCAUUUUCUUCAAUAGACUAGGAAAAUGAUAUGGUGUAGAAAUGUUUCGAAUUAUGUAUAAACAACAUCUGUACUUACCUUUAAUUAAUUUGUUCUUAUCAUAAUAGUAUAAAUUAUAUUAUACAUUUUGAAUA
Molecule: long non-coding RNA, 747 nt
Organism: Bombus terrestris (buff-tailed bumblebee)
Lineage: Eukaryota; Metazoa; Arthropoda; Insecta; Hymenoptera; Apidae
Exons: 2
Source: RefSeq, a predicted model, not a curated record